This 208-nucleotide long non-coding RNA is filed under the name Prunus dulcis (almond). Its description in RNAcentral is "sRNA ncRNA". The record is from RNAcentral. Lineage: Eukaryota; Viridiplantae; Streptophyta; Magnoliopsida; Rosales; Rosaceae.
CAAAUUUUCCACUCCUGUUGUAUUCUCUAUAGAUCUAAUCCAAGAGAUAAAAGUUAGGGAAAGAAGGACAUGAGGCACAAGUUUUCACUCACUAUCAAGAUGUCUAGCGCCUUCCCAAUUUUGUAACCCAGACCAGUGGUGGUGCUGAGAUGAGGCGUGAGACAUCGACCUUAAGUUAACGUGGAGGACCUGUGUUGGGGAGAUACUG